AGGGAAUCUUCGGCAAUGGACGAAAGUCUGACCGAGCAACGCCGCGUGAGUGAAGAAGGUUUUCGGAUCGUAAAACUCUGUUGUUAGAGAAGAACGUUGUGUAGAGUGGAAAAUUACACAAGUGACGGUAUCUAACCAGAAAGGGACGGCUAACUACGUGCCAGCAGCCGCGGUAAUACGUAGGUCCCGAGCGUUGUCCGGAUUUAUUGGGCGUAAAGCGAGCGCAGGUGGUUUAAUAAGUCUGAUGUAAAAGGCAGUGGCUCAACCAUUGUGUGCAUUGGAAACUGUUAGACUUGAGUGCAGUAGAGGAGAGUGGAAUUCCAUGUGGAGCGGUGAAAUGCGUAGAUAUAUGGAGGAACACCGGUGGCGAAAGCGGCUCUCUGGACUGUAACUGACACUGAGGCUAGAAAGAGGGAGUAGAAAGUA
Molecule: ribosomal RNA, 426 nt
Filed under: uncultured bacterium
Lineage: Bacteria
Description: bacterial SSU rRNA
Rfam family: Bacterial small subunit ribosomal RNA
Source: RNAcentral